CCACACACGAUCCAAGAUCGACACUUUUUGUGAACUGUUAAAAUGUUAUGGAGAGAACAGAAGUUGGUAAAUUUUUAAUUUAUCAAUCAAAGUUUUCUUCCUAAAUUUUACACCAUAAAAACAAAUUGAAUAAUUCAAUUGGAACUUAAAUGUUACAUAAAGUCUGUCUUUAUUGUAACGCUAGAUAUAAAUUGUAAA
This 198-nucleotide unclassified non-coding RNA is filed under the name uncultured fungus. Its description in RNAcentral is "sequence contains ITS1, 5.8S rRNA gene". The record is from RNAcentral. Lineage: Eukaryota; Fungi.